RNAcentral lists this transfer RNA (87 nucleotides) under Candidatus Thalassarchaeaceae archaeon. Its description in RNAcentral is "tRNA-Ser". It matches the Rfam family "tRNA". From Rfam's summary of the family: Transfer RNA (tRNA) molecules are approximately 80 nucleotides in length. Their secondary structure includes four short double-helical elements and three loops (D, anti-codon, and T loops). Lineage: Archaea; Methanobacteriati; Thermoplasmatota; Candidatus Poseidoniia; Candidatus Poseidoniales; Candidatus Thalassarchaeaceae. The record is from RNAcentral.
GCGACGUUCGCAUAGCCUGGCCAUCGCGCUGGAUUGCUAAUCCAGUGGGUUUUACCCUCGGGAGUUCAAAUCUCCCACGUCGCGCCA